CUAACACAUCUUGUCUAGAUGAUGAUAUACCAAUCUGUAAAAAUUCGGCAGCUGUAUCUCUUGUGUGCAGAGACCGGGAUUUGAGACAACACUGCAAAAAAACAUGUGGAUUGUACCCUCCACCUACGACUCAACAGACUAUGGUGUGUGAAGAUCACGUGAUUGACUGUAAUGACCAAUCAUUUCUGUCGGCUGUUUGUGGAAGACCGGAAGCUCAGUUUUUCUGUAAAAAAUCGUGCAACAAGUGUUGAUUAAAAUUGGUUGAUAAAUGAAGUGGUUAAAUGAUGAGCCAAACCAAAACCGGGAUAAUUUACGACUAGUAUUCCAAAUCUAACUUUCUUUUAUUACGUAUCACAUAAAUCAAACUAUCAUGAAACUAUAUUACGAACUCGAAUAAACAAUCUUAAAUAUG
Long non-coding RNA from Mytilus trossulus (common blue mussel), 412 nucleotides. RefSeq lists it as uncharacterized. The transcript is spliced from 3 exons. The record is from RefSeq and is a predicted model, not a curated record. NCBI's taxonomy places the organism in Eukaryota, Metazoa, Mollusca, Bivalvia, Mytilida, Mytilidae.